Molecule: long non-coding RNA, 1942 nt
Organism: Megalobrama amblycephala (Wuchang bream)
Lineage: Eukaryota; Metazoa; Chordata; Actinopteri; Cypriniformes; Xenocyprididae
Exons: 3
Source: RefSeq, a predicted model, not a curated record
CCGGUGGUAAAGACUCGUGUUCCAAUACUCGUGCACGAGUUUUGGGAGGCCUUCCUUUGAAAUUAGCUGUGAAGGAGGGGGGCUGUUCUUACGCAUGCGCUCAUUUCAAAAACUCAGUAACAGUUUUUGGAUUGUCAGUCGACGAAAAAGUCCUCUCUAUCACCUUUAAGUUGAACAACAGCACGUUUUUGAAAGACAAUAAAAUUCCAUAGAAACAAUAACUGAAAGACAAAGGGAGAAAAAGUUAAGAACAGAGGGUUUAGGUGCUGUAAGAUUUGUUAUGAAAAAUGUAUGCAGAAAAUAGACUUACUCCCUGAAAGAUAUAACUAAAAACAGUCCUGAGAAAACAGUAAAACAAAAGUGGCCACAAGCCACUGACAACAAACUUUCAGUUUCGCUCUGGAAGAGAUAGGCUACUUUUCUUUGUGUACAGAUAUGACUCAGGUGAAUGACGUAUGUAUGUCCUACGCAAUUUCCCGCUAAAUUUGUCCCACCACAGCUCUAAAUUAUAAAUCAUUAUUAUAGGUUUAUCAAAAUGUAUUUGUGUAAGACAUGGUUUGGAAUAUCUUUUGCACUUUGUCACUGAUAACAUUUUUGUUCUUUUUAUUUUAUUUUAUUUAUUUAAUUUUUUUUUUUUAAAGUUACAGUGAAAGUGUUUGAGGUGCUUUCUGCAUGCGAAUCAUUUUGCGCGUUCACGGUGUCCAGUCCAUGUAUGGUAAACCGGAAGAGAGCAUGACAGACAAUUUUAUGAAUUUCAACACAGACGUAGAUUAAGAAAACAGAAGAAACAAAAAUAAAAAAGACUACCAAAGUGACAAAACAAAAGCAAAAGUCUGGCGGAAGUUCUAAACAUUCUUUACAUCUCUUUUACGUGUAUCCAGCAGCGCGCUAUAACAUGGCCAGCUGCCAGGGUGUCCUAAGGCCAACUGAAACUCAAGGUGUGAGUGUGAAAACUGGGAUUAGAGACUCAAAUGAAAUGCACGGGCACCAGCAGUACCUGACAAACGGUGAUAAUAAAGGUAGGAACCACAAACACAGCUACAGUCAUCCAGGUGACAUAAGCUUUCAGCCCCCAGGGCUCGGCAAAGUGCCCCCAGCAUUCGAACACUCCUGGAGAGACCUCUGACCUGGAGAAAAUAAACACCUGUAGGGAAGACAGCAUUGGGAAAAUAUUUUAAAAUAGUUCCUUUUGUGUUUCCUGUAAUAAAUAGCACCAUAUGGGUUUGGAGUAAAUUGAAGGUGAAUAAAUAAUGGCAAAUAUCGCUUUAAGAAUGCAUAUUCACUGAUUGAUGUACCUGCGGCACACUGAGGACAAGGGCUAGACCCCAGGCUACCAUGAUGGGUGUAUUCCAGCAUGAAACUGCCCCUCCUUUGUAAGUCUGUAGGGGGCAGCAGAUGGCAUUAUGGCGGUCCACUGUCAUAGCAACAAUCAUGUAAGAGGAUGCAAACAUUCCCACAAUCUGCAGAUAUUUCACUGAGCGGCACAGCACGUCAGGACCUUGAAAUCUCUCUGUGAUAACCCAUACCAGCUGCGGGAGCACCUGCAAAACAGUGUACAGCUGUUCGCAUGUCACUUAAAAGAAAUAAUGCCAGGGUUGCCAACUUUGGUUACCUGGCUGGAGUGAGAUUUUGAAGACAUGGCCUGAACCAAUCACAGGCACCUAUAUGAGGUUUUGAGGAUGCAACAAUUCAUGUUUAAUUUCAUCUUACAAGGUUAAUGUUGUACAACAUAUACAAUUGCAUGCUGCAUGAUGUUAACAAAUAUUUGAUGAAAAUCAUAAAAUUAUUAAAAUAAAAUGAUACGCAUGCAAUGAAGUUUAACCACGACUCGCUUGCUCUUAUGACCGUUGUACAAAAUGGAAAUAUGUGCAUGAUUUUCAAGUCAUAAUGUUUACAUUAAAGUAAAAUGUAAGUUGUGCACUGGAGAAAGCAUCUCUCAAGC